GACGAACGCUGGCGGCGUGCUUAACACAUGCAAGUCGAACGGAAAGGCCCUGCUUUUGUGGGGUGCUCGAGUGGCGAACGGGUGAGUAACACGUGAGUAACCUGCCCUUGACUUUGGGAUAACUUCAGGAAACUGGGGCUAAUACCGGAUAGGAGCUCCUGCUGCAUGGUGGGGGUUGGAAAGUUUCGGCGGUUGGGGAUGGACUCGCGGCUUAUCAGCUUGUUGGUGGGGUAGUGGCUUACCAAGGCUUUGACGGGUAGCCGGCCUGAGAGGGUGACCGGCCACAUUGGGCCUGAGAUGCGGCCCGGACUCCUACGGGAGGCAGCAGUGGGGAAUAUUGCACAAUGGGCGGAAGCCUGAUGCAGCAACGCCGCGUGCGGGAUGACGGCCUUCGGGUUGUAAACCGCUUUCGCCUGUGACGAAGCGUGAGUGACGGUAAUGGGUAAAGAAGCACCGGCUAACUACGUG
This 468-nucleotide ribosomal RNA is filed under the name uncultured bacterium. RNAcentral's name for it is "partial 16S ribosomal RNA". It matches the Rfam family "Bacterial small subunit ribosomal RNA", at positions 28 to 507 of the family's 1533-position model. The record is from RNAcentral.